CACAAAAGCCCUGGGACAGAGAGUAAAAAAGACUGGACAGACCCCACGCAGUGUGCGGUGUGCGUGUGUGCACAGUGUGUGUGCAGUGUGUGUGUGCGGCGUGUGUGUGCACAGUGUGUGUGUGCACAGCGUGUGUGUGGGACGUGCAGGGCAGGCAGGGCUGAGCUCCUCGGCUCCGGAGAGGCGGGGGAAGCGCGCUGGGCGCUGAGGCCCAAGGAGCAGAGGCCACCUCGCCCAGUUCUCUCCCCGCGGAAAUGUAACGAGCAAACGCAUGGAGCGUAUCUCUUGAUCAAACGCCGUGUCCUCCGUCCUCAGGAAAGGUCCAGCGGCGAGAGCUCUGAGCACAGCCAACGUCGCCGGGAACCUUGGCCCACGGGCUCGCACGACAGAGGAAGACUCGCGGCCGGCUGCGCGGCAAAGUGCUCCCAGAUGAGCCGCUGGAAACAGCACGUGACAGCAGCGAGCGUGAGAGUUGGAAUCACCUUUAAAGACUGUCACAUCUGCCAAGGGCCGGAUGGGUGCAGGGAAGCUGAACUCAGGAGCCGGAGGCGGAGGGCGGGAGGGGAAGCCUCUGGAAAGGCACCUGAGAGCGGCUGGCGGGAUGAAACAUGGACGCCCGGAGCUCUGAAACUGCAGGCAAACCUGAGGCACCGCUGGCCUGGACGCCUUCGCCUCCAAGCCCACAGGCUCGGGGGGCGCCUGCCCUGGAGUCCAGCUGCUGCGGCCCCCGCGCCGCCCUGCUCCGCCUCCGACCCGCUCCCGCUCCCACGCAGACGGGCUCCCCGUGAAGCUGCGUGAACACGCGUCCUGCCGCUGACACACAUGAGCACAGACUCCGCGGCUACAACAGCCCAGGCUUGUUCUCCCGCAGCUCGGAAGUCGGAAACCUGCAUGGAGCUUUAUGGGGCCGGUCCAGGCGGCCGGGCGGUGUCCCCCAGGGCAGCGUCUCCUCUCCCCCUGCUUCUGCUGCCGCCACCGGGCUUUGGCCCCUCUUACCUUCUCGCCCCUCUAACUAGGCCCCCUGACUAGACUGUGCUUUCGUGGAAAACCGGGAGUCUCCCAGCUCCACACCCUCACCUGCCACACACCCGCAGAGUCCUGUCUCUGUAUUAUCUACAUAAUUUUUCUGUAAAUCUAAAACUAUUCUUGAAAAAUGAACUUUAUUUUUAAAAUCUCCUGUCUUGUGUGAUCACCCCAUCUUCUGCCUGGAUGUGUCUAGACUCUAGGGAGGCACUGGGGAACCCCAACCUGGGGCGGUUGGCAUGGGACGCUCAGGUCCACCAUCUCCCCUGAACCCUGAGGUUCCACACGUGCUCCCCUCAGACUGAGCACCGCCACGUGGAAGCCAAAUGUCUGACGUCCAAGAAGAUGUGAGGACGGCAGACCUCUC
This 1390-nucleotide long non-coding RNA is filed under the name Ursus thibetanus thibetanus. RNAcentral's name for it is "lncRNA (ENSUTTG00000018571.1)". Lineage: Eukaryota; Metazoa; Chordata; Mammalia; Carnivora; Ursidae. The record is from RNAcentral.